This is a long non-coding RNA of Dipodomys spectabilis (banner-tailed kangaroo rat), 280 nucleotides long. RefSeq lists it as uncharacterized. The record is from RefSeq and is a predicted model, not a curated record. The transcript is spliced from 3 exons. NCBI's taxonomy places the organism in Eukaryota, Metazoa, Chordata, Mammalia, Rodentia, Heteromyidae.
AGGCAAGUCAGGAUGAGGAAAGUAUAUUCCACAAAAGUAAGAAAGUAUACUUCACAAAACCUUUAAGAAACGCUAGCAACUACACACACCAGAAACCACCAGCCCGGAAAGAGGUCUGUGAUUUGCCAGGAAACUCCAGGGGGAAACUGGGGCUUCCCUUCACAGUGUGUGCAUCUCUGUGCUCAGUUUAGAAAUAGCCGGGGGCUGGCUGGGAAUGUGGCUCAGUGGUAGAGUGCUUGCCUUGCAUGCAUGAGGCCUUGGGUUUGAUUCCUCAGCACCA